RNAcentral lists this ribosomal RNA (253 nucleotides) under uncultured bacterium. RNAcentral's name for it is "partial 16S ribosomal RNA". It matches the Rfam family "Bacterial small subunit ribosomal RNA", at positions 524 to 776 of the family's 1533-position model. The record is from RNAcentral.
UACGGAGGGGGCUAGCGUUGUUCGGAAUUACUGGGCGUAAAGCGCACGUAGGCGGCUUUGCAAGUUAGAGGUGAAAGCCCGGGGCUCAACUCCGGAAUUGCCUUUAAAACUGCAUCGCUAGAAUUGUGGAGAGGUAAGUGGAAUUCCGAGUGUAGAGGUGAAAUUCGUAGAUAUUGGGAAGAACACCGGUGGCGAAGGCGGCUCACUGGCUCGUAACUGACGCUCAUGCACGACAGCGUGGGGAUCGAACAGG